CCUACGGGCUGCACCAGUGGGGAAUAUUGGACAAUGGGCGAAAGCCUGAUCCAGCAAUGCCGCGUGUGUGAAGAAGGUCUUCGGAUUGUAAAGCACUUUCGACGGGGACGAUGACGACGGUACCCGUAGAAGAAGCCCCGGCUAACUUCGUGCCAGCAGCCGCGGUAAUACGAAGGGGGCUAGCGUUGCUCGGAAUGACUGGGCGUAAAGGGCGCGUAGGCGGUUUAUGCAGUCAGAUGUGAAUUCCCCGGGCUUAACCUGGGAACUGCAUUUGAGACGCAUAGACUAGAGGUCGAGAGAGGGUUGUGGAAUUCCCAGUGUAGAGGUGAAAUUCGUAGAUAUUGGGAAGAACACCGGUGGCGAAGGCGGCAACCUGGCUCGACACUGACACUGAGAGACGAAAGCUAGGGGAGCGAAUGGGAUUAGAUACCCGCGUAGUC
This 440-nucleotide ribosomal RNA is filed under the name uncultured bacterium. Its description in RNAcentral is "bacterial SSU rRNA". It matches the Rfam family "Bacterial small subunit ribosomal RNA", at positions 338 to 795 of the family's 1533-position model. The record is from RNAcentral.